Molecule: long non-coding RNA, 809 nt
Filed under: Physcomitrium patens
Lineage: Eukaryota; Viridiplantae; Streptophyta; Bryopsida; Funariales; Funariaceae
Description: long non-coding RNA (PPAT_LNC013451)
Source: RNAcentral
GUGAGAACGUUGAACCGCAAGAAAUUGAAGAGGCAAUCAUGCAGAGCAAGCUUAUACAGAAUGUUAUGCUUGUGGGGCAAGACAAGCGGAGGUUAGGGGCGCUCAUAGUGGGCAACAAGGAGGAGCUAGAAGCUGCGGUAAAAGAAUAUAAGCUCGCUAAGGGUGAUUCUUCAAAGCCUAUCAAGAGUGACAGGACGAAUGUGAUUCGCCGAGAAAUCAAUCGGCUGUAAGUUUUUGCAUGGCCGUUAUCUUGAUGGCAGUUUUCAAUUUACAGAGUUUUUUUGGCAGGUAAGAGUUUCUUAUCUUCUAUAUGCUCUGAGUGCAUAAGAGGUGCUCCUCGCUCUGCUUUGUAUUUACACGUUUCUUGUGUUGUACAGUUUGGCAAAUUCCUCCUGGCCUGUAGGUCCAUUUGCUCUCAUUGAAGAAAGUUUUACGGUAUGAUUCAAUCCCAAGUUGUUUUUUGUGCCUGAAUCGAUGUGAUAUUUUUUAAGGGAUUAAAUAGUGUAAGAAAUUUAAUUAAUUGAAAUUUAAGCUUUUGUUAUUAGUGUGCUUUAGGAACUAGUGUUUACACUGUUUUGUGUAUUCACGCACAAAGUGUAAAUAUGUUUACCACGCAGAUCGAAAAUGGGUUGAUGACGCCAACAAUGAAAGUGCGGCGAGAAGUGGUCUACGAGCGCUACAAGGAUGAAAUAGACGGACUCUUCAAUGCUAACAAAGAUAUAUAACCUUCUCAUUUUUAUCCUCUUUAGUAGCUGGAAUCUGCUCUAUUUGAUGACAUCUGUGGUGUAACUCACGAAAUCAUGCUCUGU